Molecule: ribosomal RNA, 255 nt
Filed under: uncultured bacterium
Lineage: Bacteria
Description: partial 16S ribosomal RNA
Rfam family: Bacterial small subunit ribosomal RNA
Source: RNAcentral
UACGGGGGGAGCAAGCGUUGUUCGGAUUUACUGGGCGUAAAGGGCGCGUAGGCGACCUCCGCAAGUCAGUUGUGAAAUCUCCGAGCUUAACUCGGAAAGGUCAACUGAUACUGCGGGGCUAGAGUGCGGAAGGGGCAACUGGAAUUCUUGGUGUAGCGGUGAAAUUGCGUAGAUAUCAAGAGGAACACCUGCGGCGAAAGGCGGGUUGCUGGGCCGACACUGACGUGAGGCGCGAAAGCGUGGGGAGCGAACAGG